RNAcentral lists this ribosomal RNA (460 nucleotides) under Staphylococcus aureus. RNAcentral describes it as "bacterial SSU rRNA". It matches the Rfam family "Bacterial small subunit ribosomal RNA", at positions 1080 to 1533 of the family's 1533-position model. The record is from RNAcentral. Lineage: Bacteria; Bacillati; Bacillota; Bacilli; Caryophanales; Staphylococcaceae.
UUAAGUCCCGCAACGAGCGCAACCCUUAAGCUUAGUUGCCAUCAUUAAGUUGGGCACUCUAAGUUGACUGCCGGUGACAAACCGGAGGAAGGUGGGGAUGACGUCAAAUCAUCAUGCCCCUUAUGAUUUGGGCUACACACGUGCUACAAUGGACAAUACAAAGGGCAGCGAAACCGCGAGGUCAAGCAAAUCCCAUAAAGUUGUUCUCAGUUCGGAUUGUAGUCUGCAACUCGACUACAUGAAGCUGGAAUCGCUAGUAAUCGUAGAUCAGCAUGCUACGGUGAAUACGUUCCCGGGUCUUGUACACACCGCCCGUCACACCACGAGAGUUUGUAACACCCGAAGCCGGUGGAGUAACCUUUUAGGAGCUAGCCGUCGAAGGUGGGACAAAUGAUUGGGGUGAAGUCGUAACAAGGUAGCCGUAUCGGAAGGUGCGGCUGGAUCACCUCCUUUCUAAGGA